GACGAACGCUGGCGGCGUGCUUAACACAUGCAAGUCGAACGGAAAGGCCUCUUUCGGGGGGUACUCGAGUGGCGAACGGGUGAGUAACACGUGAGUAACCUGCCCUUGACUUUGGGAUAACUUCAGGAAACUGGGGCUAAUACCGGAUAGGAGCUCCUGCUGCAUGGUGGGGGUUGGAAAGUUUCGGCGGUUGGGGAUGGACUCGCGGCUUAUCAGCUUGUUGGUGGGGUAGUGGCUUACCAAGGCUUUGACGGGUAGCCGGCCUGAGAGGGUGACCGGCCAUAUUGGGACUGAGAUACGGCCCAGACUCCUACGGGAGGCAGCAGUGGGGAAUAUUGCACAAUGGGUGGAAGCCUGAUGCAGCAACGCCGUGUGCGGGAUGACGGCCUUCGGGUUGUAAACCGCUUUCGCUCAUGACGAAGCUUUGUGUGACGGUAGUGGGUAAAGAAGCACCGGCUAACUACGU
Molecule: ribosomal RNA, 466 nt
Filed under: uncultured bacterium
Lineage: Bacteria
Description: partial 16S ribosomal RNA
Rfam family: Bacterial small subunit ribosomal RNA
Source: RNAcentral